RNAcentral lists this ribosomal RNA (253 nucleotides) under uncultured bacterium. Its description in RNAcentral is "partial 16S ribosomal RNA". It matches the Rfam family "Bacterial small subunit ribosomal RNA", at positions 524 to 776 of the family's 1533-position model. The record is from RNAcentral.
UACGUAGGGAGCAAGCGUUGUCCGGAAUCAUUGGGCGUAAAGCGCGCGUAGGCGGCCUGUUGCGUCCGCUGUGAAAGCCCGGGGCUUAACCCCGGGUCGGCAGUGGAUACGGGCAGGCUAGAGGUAGGUAGGGGAGAAUGGAAUUCCCGGUGUAGCGGUGAAAUGCGCAGAUAUCGGGAGGAACACCGGUGGCGAAGGCGGUUCUCUGGGCCUUACCUGACGCUGAGGAGCGAAAGCGUGGGGAGCGAACAGG